CUCCGGAGGCAGGAAAGGCUUCGGCCGGACAGGGAUGGGCAUGCGGCGCAUUAGGCAGUAGGCGGGGUAACGGCCCACCUAACCGACGAUGCGUAGGGGUUCUGAGAGGAAGGUCCCCCACACUGGUACUGAGACACGGACCAGACUCCUACGGGAGGCAGCAG
Molecule: ribosomal RNA, 164 nt
Filed under: uncultured bacterium
Lineage: Bacteria
Description: partial 16S ribosomal RNA
Rfam family: Bacterial small subunit ribosomal RNA
Source: RNAcentral